RNAcentral lists this long non-coding RNA (420 nucleotides) under Olea europaea subsp. europaea. Lineage: Eukaryota; Viridiplantae; Streptophyta; Magnoliopsida; Lamiales; Oleaceae. The record is from RNAcentral.
UUUGCAGUAGCGAAGAACCCCGCUAGUCUCACAAAGCAUCGAGCAAAUCCCAAGGUGGCUCCAGUUAUUGCGAAAAUAUUUGGACCAAGCAAACUUUAAGUUUUUAACGUGAACGGGAGGGUCAACUUCGAGAGUCAAAAUGUGAUUACCUUUGUUAUGCUUAGAGAGACUGUUCGGUCUUACCUAUUUGUACAGCAGAUGUUAUACAGUUGAUAAUUGACAAACUAGAGUAACGUGAUAUAAAUUUGUAAAUCUUGAGCUUACCCACAAGGCUAAAUAUUGUUGGGAAUUCUAGCACCGAGUGCUUCACUUUUACAUGGUAGAAUUAAGACUUAAUUGACCAUUUGGUCUAGAGGAGUUUUGUGCGUAAUCUUGCAUUUGUUUGAAAGAAAAUUAAACAACGUGGCUUAGUUAUGAUAA